GGCCCCAUCGUCUAGGGGUUAGGACACAGGCUUUUCAAGCCUGCGACACGGGUUCGAUUCCCGUUGGGGCUACCA
RNAcentral lists this transfer RNA (75 nucleotides) under bacterium. RNAcentral describes it as "tRNA-Glu". It matches the Rfam family "tRNA". Rfam says of the family: Transfer RNA (tRNA) molecules are approximately 80 nucleotides in length. Their secondary structure includes four short double-helical elements and three loops (D, anti-codon, and T loops). The record is from RNAcentral. RNAcentral also lists the same sequence under 1 other name.